Molecule: non-coding RNA, 8673 nt
Organism: Equus caballus (horse)
Lineage: Eukaryota; Metazoa; Chordata; Mammalia; Perissodactyla; Equidae
Source: RefSeq, a predicted model, not a curated record
AGGGCCGCUUCCCUGUGCCCGCCCCCGGCCCGCCUCUCCGGCCUCCCGGGUCCCUCCCGGGUGCCCCCCGGGGAUCCGCGCCCCGCCGCCCUGGGGCCGCCUCUCGUCCCGCCCGCUCCGGGCGCAGGUGCCGCAGAGCCGGGAGGCGGGCGCCGCUGGCAAUCACCUUGCUGGCGAGCGGGAACCGGCCUCCAGCCCCGUCCCGCCUGGCCAGACUCCACCAACGCGCCCCGCGCGUGGAAUCCUACGGGGUGCCGAAGCCGACAGCACUCCUACUGCUCGGAGUGGAGUCGCUCCGGCCCUCCCCUCCCGCGUGCCCUAUGGCUUUGACACGACCUGGGAGCUCCUGAGUGCCCCUCAUCCUGACUCCCCUGGGUAGAGGGGGCUGCAGGUUCUUCGCCUGCGCUCAGCUCGGAGGGCUGCAAGCUGAGAGCUCACGGCGGUCCCUCGCGGACGAACCCGUGCCUCCAAGGACAGCUCCCGCGUCACCCUGCUUCGGGUGAGUAGGGCUGUUCCUCCGGCUCUUAUCAGCGCCGGCACACAGUAGGCGCUUAGGAACUGCCGAAUAAGUGAAUGAAUAAAUGAGUGAGUAAAUAUGGCUUAGACAACCUACUGUAUCGAACACGGCCGUCCGAAGACUUGACUAGAUCCGGGAAUUCAAUCUACAAAUAUUUACUGAGCGCCACCCCUGUGCAGGGCUCCGCAGAGGUGACCCUGAAAGGAGGUAGUAUUGUCAUGGGGGGACUGGGCUGUCUGGAGUCAGGACCUGUCGUCAGUGUUUGGGUUACUUAAUGCGUGACUCUGGGCAAGUCAGCUCUCUCUCUAGGCCUCCUUUCCUAAUCCUAAAAUGAGAUCGAUGAUAAGGCUGAACUCACAGGGUGGUCGUGAAGAUUUGGUGAGAUAACAUACGUGAAAGCUCAAACUCUGUACGUGAUGGUUGAUGUGAUAAAACUGUAGACAUAAAGCCCAUUAGUUCUAAGUCUGAGUUUCAAGGUCCCAGAGGUCAGUGACUAGGUUCACACGCGCCUUGUGUGCAACGUGCACUCCCGGACGGCCCCACGGCGGGGCAUGUGAAUGGAGAAACGCAACUUCGCCGUUUUUAAGUCCUAAUUUUAACCUAUAGAGUCCCUGGUAAUUUUCGUCUGAGGACAGGCUUUCCGCAUAAAAUAGAUUGAUUAGUUUUCCUCUCCCCUCCAGCCAGGAUCCAGGAGCAGCGCUCUAGGCCCGCACGUUCCACCCGCGGCUCUCGCGGGCCGCUGUCCGGCGCGGGGCGCGGCGCUGGCUGGAAAGCGGGUGCCCCGCAGCCGGGAGAGCAUCCUGGAGCCCAAGGUGGAGUGUCGGGGCUGGCUGGCACUGGGGAGAUGAGGAGAGAAUGUGUCCGCGGUCUAGGAGGACUUCCCUACUCCGGGAAGCCUAAGCCAUUUCCUGUGUUGGACCCCUCUGCCAGAAAUCCCUCAAGAAUCCCCAGGCCAGAAUGCUCUGGGAACCGCGGGGAGCUCGGGCCACGCCCGCCAAGGGAGAGCAUCUCAUUGGUGGGGGCAGGGAGAGGGAUCCCUGUACGGGGACUUGGCACAACAAUGAAGGGCCCUGAAAGAACCCGACUCCGACCCUUUCUAACCCCACCAGUGCUCCAGAGGCCUCUAGGGGACAGCGCCCCCUUGCCCGCCGCAGACGUCUCCACUCCCGCCUCCGGCCUCUGGCGCCGCCGCUGCGUGGUUCCGGAGCAGAGCGCACACACAGUGCGGCGGCGCCCGAGCACCGGGUUAGGGGGAUGCGCGAGCCUGGGGGCGCGCAGAGCGGUCAAGUUGGAUUCCAGAGACCGAUGGCAAAAAUGGAGAAAACGGCGGGGGCGGAGGCAGAGGGAAUACGUAUUGUGAUUGUUGUUUCCAAUUGUUUAAUUUCUUGCAUUUCGUCCAGAAAGAGCGCGCGAGCCUGGGUUGUCCAGGACCUGGGCGCUAAUGGCCACAUAGCUAGCAGGGGCGUCGCACAAGUGUGUGAGCUGCCUGCACGCGGGAACCUGGGCUCUUCUGCUUGCUCCAUUCCUUCUUUUUAAAAUUAAUUUGCACCCAUGCAUUGCUUCACCUGGGAAACUUCAUUCGAGCUUGCCCUGCUGCGGGCGGCGCUAAGGGACGCGAGGUCGCUGUGACCCUGCUGCUUCUCUGGUCACUGUGACCUUCAGUCCUCCGGAGCUCCGCCUAGACCCCAAGCGUCCCCGAAGCCCUGGGCUCAGGGGGCUGAGCCAAAGGGCCAAGGCUAGUGCUGACCGCGGCAUCCCUGACACCUGCUCUGGCCAGCGCCGGGCCCAUCACCGCGGCCACUUGUCGGUCCAGAGGCUCAUCGGUCCUGAAUCUGCAAGCACCGAACGUGGAGACGUAGGGGCUGCGGGGCCAGGUCCCGCGGGUGGUUGCACCUGAGGCAAGGAUGGGAUGGGGGUUCCUACAGACACGACAGGGGACAAGCAGAGUUGGAGCGGUGGGUCCGCGUGUGAUGACUCGGGGGCACAGUGGACACCGCGCGGGCACCACGCAGCUGACCGCACCGCAAACAGACGUGAGCUUAGUCUUCCCGCGUGUAUUGCGUGAACUGCGCUGUCGCUCUUUCUUAAAUGACUUUUUCUUUCUUUCCUUUUUCUUUUUCCUUUCCUCCUUCCCCACUUCCCUCCCUCCUUCUCCUCCCGUCCCCUCCUUCCCACCACCUCUCUCCCCUGCUUGCCCAUCCUCCUCCCUUUUCUUCUCUCCCCCCUCCCUCCCAUCUUUUGUCUUUAGCUCUAAAGUUCCCUGAACAUCGGUUUCCAGGAACACAGCACUUGAUGUCAGAAACCUCCCCUGCGUGUGUCAGUUUGUAAGUUGCUGCAACUGACUAGCAGUGUGAUGGUAGUCCAUUUACCUGAUCUCAGCCUCAGAUUCUUCACGGGUAAAAUGGGCAUAAUACAGGAUAACUGAUAUAGUAUAUGUGAAAGCGCCUCAUAUGCUUUAAAGAACUGUGAAAUGUUAUAAAAUAAAGAAUGGAUGAAAAUUUUAAUAAAAUUAAUAGGGUUGGGUCUCCAAAACUUUCUCCUGGAGGAACUUUCCUUACGCUAUUCCAAACUGAAGAAUUUUGGUGAGUCUAGGGGAAGGAGGAGGGGAAUUGGCACACAUUCCCUGCCCAGACCUGCAGCCCUAGCACCAGAGCUCGGCACCGGGCUGGUGGAGCCUCAGCUCCUGGCCCUUGUGUCUGCAAGUUUUGUGUGUGUUUUGCUGAUGCUUUUUGUCCCUCACACCAGGCUAGAGGUCAAAGUUAUCAUCACCACCGUCAUCUUUGCUCACACUGAUUUAUCUGUACUUGACUGACAGUCUCUGCAAAGGUCACUGACUGGCUCCUCCACACAACCCUCUGUGAAGCAGGCAGCCCAAGUCACAGCACUAAGCUGUCUCCUCGAUGAGGCAGGUGAGGGGGCAGCAUGCCAGUGGCAGAGCAGAGGCCUGAGUGCACAUCUCUUGCACUCAUGCCUUUGUCCCCUGGUUCCGGGGCUGCCCCAGGUCAGCGCCCAGUCCUCACCAGGGCCCCAGGCCAGAGAGAAGGUUUUCAACCAGCCUCUGCAUCUCCCCCUGCCCUUGUGCCCUCUCCAGUCUGAUCUCUCUAAGUUCCAUUGGACCUUUCCUCAUCCAAAGGGUGCUUGAAGUUCAAGGUAACGUGAAAAGCAAAUGGGCCCCGGGUGAGGUGCAUGCUGGAAAGCAGGAGCUCUGGCCCCGGCGUGCCGGCAGCCCUCUCCCCACCACUCAAGGCUGGUCCAACAACCAGAAGCUCUGACUUCCCUCUCAGAGGCUGCACUCAGAGUUCCUCUCUUUUAACCCCAGAAAUCUCUUCAUAGUCAUUUAGGAGAAAUUCACCAAGGUCCCUAAUUUGGGGGGUUAUUAAACCACACAGCAGGGGUUUAAGAUGUAGGCUUACCCGAGUGGACUGGAGGCAAGCAGGACACAAGGACACCUGCACAGAGUUUCUUAUGAGGAUCUUACGUUUAACAGCUUUUCUACAGGGGACUAGGGGAAAAGAAAUAGGGUUUUCAGACUACAUUGUUCCUGAAUGUGGGUAGUGUGGACUCCCUGACAACAUCAAAACCCUUCUGUAAGAGGGACUUAGUAACAAAACAUUGGAAUACAGAACCCAAGUUUUCUUGGGACUGCCCAGAGCCGACUUCUCGGUCACUGCAGAAUCCCCCUCUACACUUGUACGCUCGCCUCUGGUUAAUCCUGUCUCACAAUGGAUGGUGGGAAGAACCCUGACUUGGAGCCAGAAGACACAGUCCAGUCCCAUCCGCCGUAAUGGCUAUGCACCACGGAGCACGUCACUUAGCCACUGCCCUGGGUGGAGAGCCUCGUGAGGCAAGCGAGACGAAGGACGUGUCCGUGUUGUGUGCAUCUCGAGGGCAGCACCGAGGUGAGCAAAUGCUCCUUCUGGGAUCUGUGUCUGCGUCUCCCUAGCACUGAGGCCCAGGAGAGUUCCGAGUCAAGAACAAACCUUCUCAACCUUAAUUUCUCUCACUCCACUCUGCGCAGUGAUCAGUUUUCCUUCUGUAAGGGCGUAUGUGCACUGAAAUGAUCUUUAUUUAGCUGGUCAGAAGCUAAACUUUCAGAAAAUUUAGAUGGAAAAAAACAGCAAAUUACAAGAAAGAACUAACAGUUGGUUCAAGGGGUAUGUUUCUAUCUCUUUAUCCUAUUGUCUCUUUCCAAAUGCCUAAGGGGAGGAAGGGAAACUGACUAGAAACUACCCAUAAAUAAUACAAAAUGGAAACUAGGUCUUUUCUUAGGCUGUCUGUACACAUGUCUGAUUUCUGGGGAGACAGUGUCAGGGUAAUGACUGACAGCCUGAGGUAGCACUGAUGGAGAUCUGAUCAUGCGGUGCUUUGUCACCAGCCGACAACUCUGGUGUCAGAAGCCGACGACACUUCAUAUUUGUUUAGUUUGUGAGAUUGCUUUAAUGGAUGGGCUUCAAACUACCAUUACUUUGUGUUUUGUUUUUUAAUACACUGUUCAUUGAAGUACAGCGCGUCUACAGAACAGUGCACAGAUGGGGCGUGCUGCCUGGGAUGUCACAGAGUGCCCACAGCUGCAUAAGCUGGGCUCACGUCACGAAGCAGUGUGACCAGCCCUACCACUUCACGGCUCCCUGUCAGCUCUAAACUGUAAGUUCCCUUAGGGCAGGGACCCAGGAUCAUUCUGGUUUAAAAUAUAGUAUAGUCAUAGAAAAUUUGAGGUACAGUAAGGCCAACAGAUCAGGAGACGAUUGCCAUUGCAAAGCUAAUUAUUCCCAGUUCCCGAGAGGGGCACACCAUGCUAUGGGGCCACAUGGGGAAGCACUGGGAGGGGGAAACUGCGCGCAAGACCUUUACUGUAGUUUCCUUGGGAAGGAACGGGCGGGGCAGGGGAAGCAAGCCUAGGAUCAGCUAGUCUGAAUAUUUUGGCCGGGCUCUGGGGCACAGGGGCUGUCCCUAGUUGUCUGGUAUCUGGCCCUGGGGUGAUUAGGACAGGUGGAUAGUGGCCCUGAGAGCAAGAACCCAUUAAAGGAGGUGUAUGGGCUACAGGUUUGUACAUGAAAAGUAUACUAGCAGGGGAAUUGUUUACUAUCUCUCGGAAUUGGCAAGUCCUGGGAGGGGCAGGCCUUCCAGGGUUGGCGAGGCCCCAGAUGUUAAAGCAUCAAAUACAGACAAUAAAAGACAUGGUUCAUACGCUCAUCUUUGACACUCCAGAACCUAAAAUAACGUGUUGCACAUAACGGGCACUCUGUGAAAGGGGAGAGAGGGAAGGAAAGAAGGCAGGAAGGGAGGGAGGGCAGAGGAAACAGUGGACAGUAGGCUGGCUAGUUGGUCAACGAGAGAACUGUCUUCAGUAGCCUCACUUCCCUGCCCACAGCAACUUGUGUGAAGAGACUCCAUUCAACAGCUCCUGAUUGAUACUCAGAAAGUUGGGCUGUCUCAGCAGUCUUAGAUGUCCCUUAUGAAGACUUCAUUGGAAAACACGUCCCUCAUGCAACAUAUCCACUUAGACUGCCUGACUAAAUUGGUCCUUGAACCACCCUGCCUUUCUGCUAGCAGCUGACAGUGAUCUGGGACGGGAUCUGCUCCAGCGACCUACUGCUGUGUAAUAAACCACCCCAAACUUAGUAGUGCAAACCACCGCUGUUAUUAUACCCAGUGAUUCUGUGGGCCAGGAAUUUGGAUAGUGUACACCGAGGAUGUCUGCUUCGUGAUGUCUGAGGUCUCAGCUGGAAGGAUGUGAACAACUGGAAGUAACUUAAAUGGUCAGGAGCUGGAACCAUCUGGAAGCUUCUUCACCCAUAUGUCUGGCACCAGAGCUGGGAUGACUCAAAGGCUGAGCUAAGCUAGGACUGUUAACCAAAGUGUCUGUCCACGGCUUUUCCAUAUUGUUUUGGCUUCCUUUUAGCAUGAUGGCCUCAGAGUAGAUGGACUUCUUACACGUCAGCUCGGCUCCAAGGAUGAGUGUUUCCACAAGCAAGGCAAACGCUGCAUGGUAUUUUAUGACAUAGGCUCAGAAGUCACAUGGCAUCACCCCUGACCAAUAACACUCUAUUAGUCAAAGCAGUAACAAGCCUGGCCAGAUUUAAGGGGAGGAACAUGGAUCCCCAGUUCUCUGUGUCCAGGAGACAGUGCUCUGAGUUCAGGGAGGACAAAACAAAGAAGAGGAAGCUGCAAAGAGGGAAAGCCUCAGAGAUUUGCAGAAGGGUCUGCUUGAACCUUUGGCUGAGGUCUCCUCUGCACAUGUGUGAGAGAAAAAUACUAAGGCUGUGGAAAAAAAACACUGGAGAAAAGGAGGUGGAAUAUGGGGAGUGUCAAAGAAUUGUGGCCAUGUUUUAAAAGCACCGCAGGGUGUGUGUAUGUGUGAGACGGUGGUGGUGAGAACACCUGAGGUUUAAAACUGGCAAGUAACUAAGUAACUCAUAACAAGACUCCCUCCCUCCCCGAGGCCAGCGUCAAGGCAAAGAAGCGUGUCAGCCUCUUCAGUACGCCUUCCUCCUACCCAUGUUACACAAUGCCAGUCCUUCAAGAGGUUUUUCAAAGCUUCCCCAAAGGAAAUAAUAGAAAUAGGGUAAUAGCAAUUUCAUCUUUAAGAUAGAGAAUGCUGAGACACAAGGUAUGUUUAGGCCAUAAAACAAUUUAAAGGAUGAAACUAGGUCUGGAUAUUGAAGUUGCAUUUGAAAAAAACUUAACGAGUUAUGGAUCCCCAUUUGGAACCGGAAUUUGUAGAGUUUUAUUGGAGGGGAUGGUUGGGGGUAUUUUGAGAAGAAUUUAAGUGCAGGUAGGGAAAACGGUUCCUAAUCUUCUUCAACUGGCUUCUAGCCACAGUCAUGCCCUCACUCUGACACUGGAUCUAGUCAACACGUGUUUGGAGCAGUAUGGAUCGCAGUCUUGUUUACUUGUAUAAACAGGUAUUUUUACCUGUUUACUCAAAGGAUAAUUUAAGGUGCUCUUACAAAUCACAUCUCAUUUCAUUUUCAAACAUCCUAAAAGGGAAGCAAGGAAGGUUUAUUAUUAUUACCUAGUUUUGCAGAUAAGGAGCUAAGGUUCAUAGAAAUUAAAUGACAGCUAGUGAGUGGCAGAACUAGUAAAAUGACUCAGUCCAAGGUUCUCUCAGUGACGCUCAUUCAUUGCUUAAUUCUCCACAAGAUGUAGAGCUCGAAUGAAAUGAGGCGGGAUGCAAACAAACAAUGUCACACGUAAGAAAGUAAACUUCAAAUUACAGACUUCCACUUCUGCCCAUGUUGGAGUAACAGGGAUCGUGUUUAUUCUCCCACCUUAAGCCACUACAAAACUAUAUAAAAUGUAUGAAACGAGUUUUCAGACAUUGUACACAGAUGGUGUGGGACAAUAAUCCUGGAAAAGACAAACAAACAAGGUGAAUGCAAUCAGUUCCCCUGCUCACUGUCUGGAGGAGGUUUCCAGGCCACAGCACAGGGAAGGGAACCCAAAACAGAGACCAGUGGUUUUGCUGUGUCCAGGAGACAGUACUCUGAGUUCAGGGAGGACAAAGCAAAGAAGAGGAAGCUGCAAAGAGGGAAAGCCUCAGAGAUUUGCAGAAGGGUCUGCUUGAACCUUUGGCUGAGGACUCAUCUGCACAUGUGUGAGAGGAAAAUACUAAGGCUGUGGAAAAAAACACUGGAGAAAAGGAGGUGGAACGAUCUCCCAGGUUCACACAGGGCCAGAAAUCUUCUGUUCCCACCAGCCAGGGUGGAAAGACCUCCCAAUACACAGGGCAUCAGGUAGUGUCCAGAAGAGUAUUGCUUCACGGAAAAAAAACGAGGAAAAUACAACCAUAACCAAUAUGCAAACCAGUCAAUAGAAAUAGAAGCAGAAGUGAUAAUGGAACUAGUAGAUAAGGAUGUUAAAAGAUCAAUUUUAAAUAUCCUCCAUAUGUUCAAGAAGGUAGAGGAAAACAAGAAUAUGAUGGAGAGAGAAAGAAACAUCUAAGAAAGACCCCAAUCAAAAUUUUCAAGAUAAAAUAUACAAUAUUUGGAAUAUAAAAUACACUAGCUAAGAUUAACAUCAGAUUAAACAUUACAUAAGAAAACAUUAGUGAACAUGACAUAAACUAUCCACAAUGAAAAGUAGAGAGGAAAAGGACAGAAAAUAAAUAGAGAAGUGACAACCUGUGAGACAAGAUUAAGUGACCUGUCUUAAAA